AGAGUUGCUAAGAACAGCAAUGGCAUCAGUGACUGUUUGCAGCACCACCAAAGGCUUGUUCCUCAUCUUCACCCUGCUGUCUCUGGUUUGCCUUUCAAGUGCACUGAUAGACAAGGACCAGCUGAAACAACUCAAAGAAAACUAUCAGAACAUAAAACAACAAAUGGACAGACUGAAGGCUAAGCGUGUGGAA
This is a non-coding RNA of Maylandia zebra (zebra mbuna), 193 nucleotides long. The record is from RefSeq and is a predicted model, not a curated record. Lineage: Eukaryota; Metazoa; Chordata; Actinopteri; Cichliformes; Cichlidae.